This 388-nucleotide ribosomal RNA is filed under the name Ctenophora sp. (in: diatoms). RNAcentral describes it as "Ctenophora sp. (in: Bacillariophyta) partial small subunit ribosomal RNA". It matches the Rfam family "Eukaryotic small subunit ribosomal RNA", at positions 582 to 975 of the family's 1831-position model. Lineage: Eukaryota; Bacillariophyta; Fragilariophyceae; Fragilariales; Fragilariaceae. The record is from RNAcentral.
AUUCCAGCUCCAAUAGCGUAUAUUAAAGUUGUUGCAGUUAAAAAGCUCGUAGUUGGAUUUCGGAACCGGCCGAUUGGUCCGUCCACUGGAUCGUGUACUGAUCGGUCUGUUCUUCUUCGCGAAGACCACGUGUGCCCUUAACUGGGUGGGCGUGGGAUUCGCGACGUUUACUUUGAAAAAAUUAGAGUGUUCAAAGCAGGCAUUCGCUUGAAUAUCUCAGCAUGGAAUAAUAGAAUAGGACUUUGGUCUUACUUUGUUGGUUUCCGAGACCGAAGUAAUGAUUAAUAGGGACAGUUGGGGGCAUUCGUAUUUCAUUGUCAGAGGUGAAAUUCUUGGAUUUAUGAAAGACGAACUUCUGCGAAAGCAUUUGCCAAGGAUGUUUUCAUCG